Molecule: ribosomal RNA, 468 nt
Filed under: uncultured bacterium
Lineage: Bacteria
Description: partial 16S ribosomal RNA
Rfam family: Bacterial small subunit ribosomal RNA
Source: RNAcentral
GACGAACGCUGGCGGCGUGCUUAACACAUGCAAGUCGAACGGAAAGGCCCUGCUUUUGUGGGGUGCUCGAGUGGCGAACGGGUGAGUAACACGUGAGUAACCUGCCCUUGACUUUGGGAUAACUUCAGGAAACUGGGGCUAAUACCGGAUAGGAGCUCCUGCUGCAUGGUGGGGGUUGGAAAGUUUCGGCGGUUGGGGAUGGACUCGCGGCUCAUCAGCUUGUUGGUGGGGUAGUGGCUUACCAAGGCUUUGACGGGUAGCCGGCCUGAGAGGGGGACCGGCCACAUGGGGACUGAGACCAGGCGCAGCCUCAGACGGGAGGAAGAGGGGGGGAAUAGUGCGCAAUGGGCGGAAGCCGGACGCAGCGACGCCGCGUGGGGGAGGAUGGCCUUCGGGUUGUAAAGCGCUUUCCGCAGGGACGAAGGGAAAGUGACGGUAUGGGAAAAAGAAGCACCGGCUAACUACGUG